GCCUUCGGGAACUCUGACACAGGUGCUGCAUGGCUGUUGUCAGCUCGUGUCGUGAGAUGUUGGGUUAAGUCCGUACGAGCGCAACCCUUGUCCUUAGUUACCAGCACGUUAUGGUGGGCACUCUAAGGAGACUGCCGGUGACAAACCGGAGGAAGGUGGGGAUGACGUCAAGUCAUCAUGGCCCUUACGGCCUGGGCUACACACGUGCUACAAUGGUCGGUACAAAGGGUUGCCAAGCCGCGAGGUGGAGCUAAUCCCAUAAAACCGAUCGUAGUCCGGAUCGCAGUCUGCAACUCGACUGCGUGAAGUCGGAAUCGCUAGUAAUCGUGAAUCAGAAUGUCACGGUGAAUACGUUCCCGGGCCUU
Molecule: ribosomal RNA, 365 nt
Filed under: uncultured Pseudomonas sp.
Lineage: Bacteria; Pseudomonadati; Pseudomonadota; Gammaproteobacteria; Pseudomonadales; Pseudomonadaceae
Description: bacterial SSU rRNA
Rfam family: Bacterial small subunit ribosomal RNA
Source: RNAcentral